RNAcentral lists this unclassified non-coding RNA (323 nucleotides) under soil metagenome. RNAcentral's name for it is "partial contains 5.8S ribosomal RNA, internal transcribed spacer 2, and large subunit ribosomal RNA". The stretch from base 1 to 120 matches the Rfam family "5.8S ribosomal RNA", at positions 35 to 154 of the family's 154-position model. The record is from RNAcentral.
GAUGAAGAACGUAGCGAAAUGCGAUAAGUAAUGCGAAUUGCAGAAUUCAGUGAGUCAUCGAAUCUUUGAACGCACAUUGCGCCCUGUGGUAUUCCGCAGGGCAUGCCUGUUCGAGCGUCAUUUCAACCCUCAAGCUCUGCUUGGUGUUGGGCCCUGCCCGCUGCGGCCGGCCCUAAAGACAGUGGCGGUGCCGCCUGGCCCUGAGCGUAGUACAUCUCUCGCUCCAGUGCCCGGUAGUAGCCUGCCAGAACCCCAACUCUCGUGGUUGACCUCGGAUCAGGUAGGGAUACCCGCUGAACUUAAGCAUAUCAAUAAGCGGAGGA